GCAAACUUGGUCAUUUAGAGGAAGUAAAAGUCGUAACAAGGUUUCCGUAGGUGAACCUGCGGAAGGAUCAUUAAUGUGUUGUCAAUGGGGUUUGAUGCUGGCCACCCAAGAAAACUUGGGUUGGCAUGUGCUUGCCCUGACAAUCAUCUUCCAAACACACCUGUGCACUAUUUUCAAGGGAUUUGUGAGUUUGACUUUGCCACUUUUUCUGGCGAGAUAUUCUUGCAUUCCCCCUUGGAUGAUUUAUCAUACACCGUUAGCAAUGUUGAACGUGUUUUUGUGCCGCAAGGCCUCUAUAAUAAUACAACUUUUAACAACGGAUCUCUUGGCUCUCGCAUCGAUGAAGAACGCAGC
RNAcentral lists this unclassified non-coding RNA (354 nucleotides) under uncultured fungus. RNAcentral's name for it is "partial contains small subunit ribosomal RNA, internal transcribed spacer 1, and 5.8S ribosomal RNA". The stretch from base 1 to 73 matches the Rfam family "Eukaryotic small subunit ribosomal RNA", at positions 1759 to 1831 of the family's 1831-position model. The record is from RNAcentral. Lineage: Eukaryota; Fungi.